UCAGACUUCUUCUUCCUGUUCAGCGUCUGGGCCUGGAGCUGGGGUUUCUUCCUGCAGAGCUGACUGGAAAGGAGAGGAGGAUGGAAACGCCUGUGGUGGAGAAGCUCCUGGGAACAGGCCAGGCCCCCUCAGCUUCCGGGCCUGUGGUUUCAGUUCCAAGGAGCACCUGGAUGAAGCUCCAUUGCCGAGUUCUCUCAGUUUGGACCUUUUAUCAUAUAGAUGCCAAAAUUCUCAGAAGCUUGGAAGAUUUUUCUCCUCCAGCUAGCCCUGAAAACAUCUCUGUAAUUUGUCCCACAUGCACACUUGAGACGCCUGGAAGGUGUCUGCUAUUUUCUCGUUCCAAAUGCUUUGUUAACGGACUUCACAAAAUCACUGACCCAACACUACUUCUGGGAGGAAGGGACAUGAUUAAAAGCUCUUCACAGA
Molecule: long non-coding RNA, 426 nt
Organism: Mustela lutreola (European mink)
Lineage: Eukaryota; Metazoa; Chordata; Mammalia; Carnivora; Mustelidae
Exons: 3
Source: RefSeq, a predicted model, not a curated record